RNAcentral lists this ribosomal RNA (465 nucleotides) under uncultured bacterium. RNAcentral describes it as "bacterial SSU rRNA". It matches the Rfam family "Bacterial small subunit ribosomal RNA", at positions 338 to 795 of the family's 1533-position model. The record is from RNAcentral.
CCUACGGGAUGCAGCAGUAGGGAAUCUUCGGCAAUGGACGAAAGUCUGACCGAGCAACGCCGCGUGAGUGAAGAAGGUUUUCGGAUCGUAAAACUCUGUCGGUAGAGAAGAACGUUGGUGAGAGUGGAAAGCUCAUCAAGUGACGGUAACUACCCAGAAAGGGACGGCUAACUACGUGCCAGCAGCCGCGGUAAUACGUAGGUCCCGAGCGUUGUCCGGAUUUAUUGGGCGUAAAGCGAGCGCAGGUGGUUUAUUAAGUCUGGUGUAAAAGGCAGUGGCUCAACCAUUGUAUGCAUUGGAAACUGGUAGACUUGAGUGCAGGAGAGGAGAGUGGAAUUCCAUGUGUAGCGGUGAAAUGCGUAGAUAUAUGGAGGAACACCGGUGGCGAAAGCGGCUCUCUGGCCUGUAACUGACACUGAGGCUCGAAAGCGUGGGGAGCAAACAGGAUUAGAUACCCCUGUAGUC